This 468-nucleotide ribosomal RNA is filed under the name uncultured bacterium. Its description in RNAcentral is "partial 16S ribosomal RNA". It matches the Rfam family "Bacterial small subunit ribosomal RNA", at positions 28 to 507 of the family's 1533-position model. The record is from RNAcentral.
GACGAACGCUGGCGGCGUGCUUAACACAUGCAAGUCGAACGGAAAGGCCCUGCUUUUGUGUGGUGCUCGAGUGGCGAACGGGUGAGUAACACGUGAGUAACCUGCCCUUGACUUUGGGAUAACUUCAGGAAACUGGGGCUAAUACCGGAUAGGAGCUCCUGCUGCAUGGUGGGGGUUGGAAAGUUUCGGCGGUUGGGGAUGGACUCGCGGCUUAUCAGCUUGUUGGUGGGGGAGUGGCUUACCAAGGCUUUGACGGGUAGCCGGCCUGAGAGGGUGACCGGCGACAAUGGGACUGAGAUACGGCCCAGACGCCUACGGGAGGCAGCAGGGGGGAAUAUUGCACAAUGGGCGGAAGCCUGAUGCAGCAACGCCGCGUGCGGGAUGACGGCCUUCGGGUUGUAAACCGCUGUCGCCUGUGACGAAGCGUGAGUGACGGUAAUGGGUAAAGAAGCACCGGCUAACUACGUG